UCACGUCAACUCGAACACGCAAAACCCCGGUAUGAAGCAUUGUCAUGAGCAUGCCAAACCAACAGAUGGCGAUAUAUUCCUUAACCCAGAGAAGCCACUCCAGUCUCGUCUUGCCAUGAACAAGGAAAAAAUGCGGGAGCUGACUUCGCAGACGUAACGUUACGUGGUUCAGGUCAUUGGCACUGCUGUAUCACAACAUCAUUUGCUGGCAUGUACAUCUAGGAUGCAAUCAAUCCAGAUGAGAUUCUCUCCAAUGCCAGCAAACCGACAGUGGAAGACACGAGCCAGCACUUCUCCCACCACAUUGCUUCAGGCUUUUGAGAUACCCACUUAUAACUGCUUCUCCCC
Molecule: non-coding RNA, 348 nt
Organism: Paramisgurnus dabryanus
Lineage: Eukaryota; Metazoa; Chordata; Actinopteri; Cypriniformes; Cobitidae
Source: RefSeq, a predicted model, not a curated record